RNAcentral lists this long non-coding RNA (558 nucleotides) under Nilaparvata lugens (brown planthopper). RNAcentral's name for it is "uncharacterized LOC120354783, transcript variant X2". The record is from RNAcentral. Lineage: Eukaryota; Metazoa; Arthropoda; Insecta; Hemiptera; Delphacidae.
UGAAUGAAAAAUGGCUUGUAGGAAACAGUAAAAGAUGUCCCAAAUGUAGGGUGUCCAUUGAGAUGAGGAGAAAGCAUUAGUGAAAGAGUAUUUGGGAGCUGAUAGAAAGACAAAAUUGCAAAUAGAAGCUAAAAAUGGAAAAAAACUGGUAAGAUUGGUCAACACAUCACUGAAUGAAAAAUGGCUUGUAGGAAACAGUAAAAGAUGUCCCAAAUGUAGGGUGUCCAUUGAGAUGAGGAGAAAGCAUUAGUGAAAGAGUAUUUGGGAGCUGAUAGAAAGACAAAAUUGCAAAUAGAAGCUAAAAAUGGAAAAAAACUGGUAAGAUUGGUCAACACAUCACUGAAUGAAAAAUGGCUUGUAGGAAACAGUAAAAGAUGUCCCAAAUGUAGGGUGUCCAUUGAGAUGAGGAGAAAGCAUUAGUGAAAGAGUAUUUGGGAGCUGAUAGAAAGACAAAAUUGCAAAUAGAAGCUAAAAAUGGAAAAAAACUGGUAAGAUUGGUCAACACAUCACUGAAUGAAAAAUGGCUUGUAGGAAACAGUAAAAGAUGUCCCAAAUGUA